UACGUAGGGCGCAAGCGUUGUCCGGAAUCAUUGGGCGUAAAGCGCGUGUAGGCGGCUCGGCAAGUCCGCUCUGAAAGCCCGGGGCUCAACCCUGGGAGGCGGGUGGAUACUGCUGAGCUCGAGUCCGGAAGAGGCGAGUGGAAUUCCUGGUGUAGCGGUGAAAUGCGCAGAUAUCAGGAGGAACACCAAUGGCGAAGGCAGCUCGCUGGGACGGUACUGACGCUGAGACGCGAAAGCGUGGGGAGCAAACAGG
RNAcentral lists this ribosomal RNA (253 nucleotides) under uncultured bacterium. Its description in RNAcentral is "partial 16S ribosomal RNA". It matches the Rfam family "Bacterial small subunit ribosomal RNA", at positions 524 to 776 of the family's 1533-position model. The record is from RNAcentral.